CAGCCGCCGCGGUAAUACGGAGGGCGCGAGCGUUACCCGGAUUUACUGGGCGUAAAGGGCGUGUAGGCGGCCUGGGGCGUCCCAUGUGAAAGGCCACGGCUCAACCGUGGAGGAGCGUGGGAUACGCUCAGGCUAGAGGGUUGGAGAGGGUGGUGGAAUUCCCGGAGUAGCGGUGAAAUGCGCAGAUACCGGGAGGAACGCCGAUGGCGAAGGCAGCCACCUGGUCCACUUCUGACGCUGAGGCGCGAAAGCGUGGGGAGCAAACCGGAUUAGAUACCCCGGUAGUCCCUGUCUCUUAUAC
Molecule: ribosomal RNA, 301 nt
Filed under: uncultured bacterium
Lineage: Bacteria
Description: partial 16S ribosomal RNA
Rfam family: Bacterial small subunit ribosomal RNA
Source: RNAcentral